GCAGUCGUGGCCGAGUGGUUAAGGCGAUGGACUAUAAUUCCAUUGGGGUUUCCCCACACAGGUUCGAAACCUGUCAACUGCG
RNAcentral lists this transfer RNA (82 nucleotides) under Rhipicephalus microplus (southern cattle tick). RNAcentral's name for it is "tRNA-Tyr". It matches the Rfam family "tRNA". From Rfam's summary of the family: Transfer RNA (tRNA) molecules are approximately 80 nucleotides in length. The record is from Rfam by way of RNAcentral. Lineage: Eukaryota; Metazoa; Arthropoda; Arachnida; Ixodida; Ixodidae.